CUCAGUUACGCCAUGCAAGGAGACUUGCAGAGACACUUUACCCUUUUGCUAGAAUGGUAGAACUUCAUGGUGGCCAUCUUGUGAGUCAUGAGAGGACUGCAGAGGUAAAUACGCUGUUUCUGAUUAAUUUAUACAAGUAACUAUACAUUUAUUGGCAUUGUUGGAACCUUGUUGUCUAGAAUUAUGUAAAGUAUAAAGAUUGGGUAUCAGUAGAUGGGAUUCUUGAGGAUUUGCUAAAAAAGAAGAAAAAAUGUGUCAUUCAGCAAUAAGACGAAUAGUUAUUGAUUUAUUUUUUCUUUUGUAAUAGAAAGAUUGUCAUAAAACUUAUUUUAAAAAUCCAAAUUUGCAGUAGAAUUAACUUUUUAUUGCUCAGGUCAAUGAAGCUCUUCUUGAGUUGAUCAGGGCAUCAGAAAGUGAGAUAGACCCACUCGAAUGGACUAAUUUGCCCCAGCCCAGCCCAGGUAAGAAUCACAAACUGAAUAUGAACGUGUUUUUUCCGCAUUGGUUCCUUUUUAGAAUGUUCAUAUGUUAGUAGGUGGGUCCACCAAUAUCACCUACUAAAACCCUGAUUUCCUAAAGGCUAUGGCAUGAAGUUUCCUGAGCUCAUGUUCUCUCCCUUUGUGAGUUUUUCACUUGGAAAGCUCAGUUGGUCUCACUAGCAAACAUGGAAUGGUCUUGUGGACCAUAAAACCCUACCGUACCUUACCCUCAUACCAAUGGAUGUGUAAUGGGAUUUACUAGGUAUUGUUCUUGUUGAUGACAUUUGAUUUAAGGAACCCUUGUUUCAUAAAACUGGUGAUUCUGAUAACAGAAGCAGAAUGGUGAAAGUUAUCAUGAUGAAUGAUUUUAAACAGACCAGAUGAGAACUACAGUCACUUGGAACAAGAGAUCUUCUAAACAUCCUCUUUUGUACUGGCUUUUGUAUUAAUUUUCAAGAUCAUCUUUAACAAAUCCCAUCAUGUGCUUAUAAUAAACUCUCAUCGUUUGUAGGGUGGAUAGUGACAAGAAUAUCAUUAUACAAAAGAAAUCCCGAGGGAGGAAGCAAUAAAAAUUUGAUAUUUGGCAUUGUCGAAAAGCUAUAUCUUUUCCUUCUGUACCUCUUUGGCCUCCUCGUCUUGGCAUUUGAGCAUAUACGGAGAGCUAUAAGAAGUUUAAAACCAGUUAAAGUGGAAGCGGUCCUGACAUAAGCUUCUAUUGACAAAGCAGUCAUUAUGUUUGAGUAAGUACUAGACCCUUUAUCCUUUUCUACUGAAAAGUGAAAACUCAUCGAAUAGGAGCUGUUUUCUAACCAUCUGUAUCUAUUCUUUUCGCAGGGGGUUUAUUAUGACCCGUGUAAUCCGCUUGUAAUACCAAUUUCUAUGAAUAUCUAACAAAAGAGUAUAUAGGAGAGAUGCAGCCAUCUCAGUGUCAGUCGAGAAUAUUAUCUUUAAAAAUUUAGGUGUGGAAGGAGUCAAAACAGCCAAAUAUUUAAGGCAUAUACUUGAACACUAAAAAGAAUCAGGCAGAAUAGAGGGAAUAACUAGCAUCUCUCCCCUUGCAUCUACAUAUAUUAUCAUUGUAUUGCUCCCACUCCUUUUCUUUUUCUUGUGUAAAAAAGGCCUACAGUUAAUAUUCAUAGAAAACAAGAUAUCUCCCUGGUAGUUAUAUAUAUAUAUACGGUCCAGAUCAAGUGCAUACCCCUUAUCUUACUCACCCGUGCUCACCCCUUUUUAGCGACGGACCCGACGACGAUUCGGUCAUACAACCGUCGUCUAUACUUUUAGCGACGCUAUAUGUUGUCUGUCGCUAAAAGUAUAGACGACGACGGUUGUAUGACAGAAACCGUCGUCGGAUCCGCCGCUAAAGGGGGGUGAGCACGGGUGAGUAAAAUAAGGGGUAAGCACUUGAUCCUUGCUCUAUAUAUAUAUAUAUAUAUAUAUGGGCUAUAUGUAUACACAGCUGUGUAUUAUACACCAUAUCUCAGAAUAGAUAUAACGACGGGUAAAACCGUUGUCAUAGCCGACUCUGUAAUACUCAGCUGUGUACAUAUAUUUUUUCAUAUAAAUAUUCUUCUUGUGGCCACAUGAUAUCUCACCGUCGAAACGAAGAUUGUUAUUUGGCUAUUAAACACUUGGAUAAACAGUUUGGAUGUUUGGCGAAUAUGGUCAAUUACGCUGUUGCCCCUCUAUUUAAUAAAAUAACUUUAAUAUGAGAGAGAAUUAAUACUUGUACAAUGACAUCCAUGUAAUGUUGUGUGAAUAUUUUAAAAAUAAUAAUAUGUUGAAUGCAAAUAAUGGGAGCCAAAUCAGAUAGCAUGAUAUAUAUAUAUAUAUAUAUAUAUAUAUAUAUAUAUAUAUAUAUAUAUAUAUAUAUAUACACUUCUGUGCAUGAAGUUGCUUAAUUACUUUUCGUUCACAAAACAAAAUCUCUAAAAUUUUACAUAAAACAACUGAAAUUAAAGCAUACUAUGAGAAGAUAGAGGAACUUGCCUGGCAAAAAAUUGCAUAUGAAAUCAUGGGAGUGAUAAUUUUGUUCAAUUGAUCAAUAUAGUGUCGACACAUAAGCCGAAAAGUGAUCUCUCUACAUGUCAAUCAAUUGACCAAUUUGUUAAAUCAUGGAGAGAAAAAUAACUGAUUUAAGAUGAAGAAGUUAGGAGU
RNAcentral lists this long non-coding RNA (2636 nucleotides) under Panax ginseng (ginseng). RNAcentral's name for it is "long non-coding RNA (PGIN_LNC005659)". Lineage: Eukaryota; Viridiplantae; Streptophyta; Magnoliopsida; Apiales; Araliaceae. The record is from RNAcentral.